CCCCACGUCUCCGUGCCGCCCAGAGCCAGAAGCAUUCCCUCAAACACCUCGCGGGCGCCUCUGACCCCGCCUCCCUCCAUGGCCGCGCCCUAGAGACCAGAUUGUCGCAGCCGCUUCGGUGCUCCGGCUCCACCCAUGCCGCAGUGCCGCCUCCUCCUGGCCGCCGUGGUCCUUUUAGGGGCUGUGGUGGCCGCCGUGGCGCAGCAGCCGCUCGCGUCGCCGUCGGACCUGGCGGGGCUGUACAGCCUGCGGGCGUCGCUGGGUUUGCGGGCGCGGGAGUGGCCCGCGAGGGCCGACCCGUGCACGGCCUGGGCGGGGGUCAUGUGCCGCGCCGGCCGCGUCGUGGGUGUCAGCGUCGCGGGGUUCCGCCGCACCCGCCUCGCGAGCCGCGCGCCGGCGUUCGCGGUCGACGGGCUGCGGAACCUCACAGCGCUCGAGCUCUUCAACGCCUCCGGUUUCCCGCUCCCCGGCGAGGUGCCCGCGUGGUUCAGCCGCGGCCUCCCGCCGCCGCUCGCCGUGCUCGACCUCCGCUACGCCGCAGUCAAUGGCAUGCUCCCGCCCGAUCUCGGCUCAUCGGGGAAUCUGACUAGGCUGCUCCUCUCCGGGAACAGUCUCUCGGGCCAGGUUCCGGAAACGCUGCUCUCCGUCAAAGGCCUUCGCGUUCUUGACCUCUCCACCAACAAUUUCACCGGGGAGCUACCCAGCGUCUCGGUCGGCGCCGGUGAUGUAGCGGCAUCGUUGUUUAACAUUUCAGGGAAUUCUCUGUAUGGUGUGGCCACUGAUGCCAUUGGGGCACUCAAGACGAGAUUCCGGCUGGUGGACGUGUCAAGCAACUACCUCGAUGGAGAUUGGAAUGGAUCCGAUGCAACGGUGGAUGUUAGCGUGAAUUGCUUCUCUGGUGUCCCUGGUCAGCGCCGUCGUGUUGAUUGUGAAGACUUCUAUAGGAGGGAAGGGGUGAGACUUGUUGAUAGUCCAGUGCCUGCACCUUUGCCUCAGCCAUCACCAGAGAAGAGCCGUGGGAUCUCCAAAAAUGUACUUAUUGGGGUUCUUGCAGCCGCGGCAGCAUUGAUGGUUAUGUUUUUGGUUGCAUUGCUUUUCUGUUUGAUGAGGAGGAGACAAAGAGGAGGUGGGAGAGGGGCGGAAACAAAUGAGGAAGGUGCACGCGGCAUGCGUAGGAGGGACAGCAGCGUAAAUCCUGUGGCCUCAUCACCGGUAGCAGUGUCCCCGAGAGCCGAUGCUACUCCUAAGGAUGCGAUUGCCGUUUUUGGUGAGUUGACCUAUGAGCAAUUGAUCCAUGCCACCGGGGGCUUUGGUGAUGACAACCUCCUCAAGCAUGGGCAUUCGGGGGAUAUUUACCAUGGUGUGUUGGAGAAUGGCGCACAUGUCAUCGUCAAGAAGAUUGGUACAAAGAGUAUCAACAAAGUUUCAAGCGAAUUGGACUUCUAUUCGAGGUACUCACAUGGGAGGAUUGUUCCGUUGCUCGGCCAUCUGGCCAACAAUGACGAAGAAUUUCUGUCCUACAAGUAUAUGCCAAAGGCGGACUUGACCAGCGCAUUGCACAAGAAACCUGUGGACACUGAAGAUGGCUUGCACUCAUUGGAUUGGAUAACUAGACUGAAGAUCGCCACUGGUGUAGCUGAGGCCAUGUGCUUCCUUCAUGACGAGUGCAGCCCACCAUUCGUUCACAGAGAUAUCCAAGCAAGCAGUGUGCUUCUUGAUGAUAAAUUUGAAGUGCGACUCGGAAGUAUGAGUAACAUAUGCGCUCAGCAAAGUGCAGGAAGCCAGAAUGUUUUCUCUCGGAUCUUGAGAUCAUCAAAGUCUCUUGACAAGAACAUAUCAGGCCCACCAGCAACUUGUUCAUACGAUGUUUACUGCUUUGGGAAGGUGAUCCUUGAGCUAGUAACAGGCAAUUUUGGUGUAAGUGGAUCAAAUGAUGCUGGCUCCGAGGAGUGGCUGACGAACACAAUAAAUCGCAUUAGCAUCAGUGACAAGGAUAGCAUUAUUAAUAUAAUUGAUCCUUUACUUGUCGUUGAUGAGGACCAUCUUGAAGAAGUAUGGGCAGUGGCGAUUGUCGCAAAGACGUGCCUAAACUCAAAGCCGUCAAGGCGCCCCUCUGCUCGCUACGUCUUGAAAGCCCUGGAGAAUCCACUGAGGGUGGUCCGAGCGGGUUCCCGGUCCAACUCCGCAAGGCUCAGGAGCUCGUCAUCCCGGAGCUCAUGGCAGUCUGCUUUUCUUCAGGGCAAUCGUUACCAGAACUACGAGGUCAUGUCGCCAUCAGGGCGAAUGCUUGAUGGCAGAGGCUCAGUUCGGUCGCAUAUUAGUGGGGGAGAAGCUUCCUCGUCCUUCAAGAGAUCUUUGCGGGAGAUAGCUCCUGACCCGCAAGUGCUGGACGAGGACGUCGCUGUGUAGAGAAAAGAGAAGAUUUUAUCCGGAAUUUCUUUCAGGAGCUGGUGAUUCUUGCUUACCUGUGUAUAAUUGUCAUCGGAUGUGCAUGGCUUCGGUUCCUCAAGGUCAGAAGUGUGCAUAAAGAGAGGCUAAGUUGUGGGUUUUCCUUCAUUGGCACAUGGAGAUGGUACAUGAUGUUUGCAGAGUGCACAUAGAGCAACAACAUUCAGUAUGACACAAUUAAUUUCUUUUCACCAAAUCACAUUGAUUUUUGACAUAAUCUGUACUAGUUAGUUGGAUUAAUUUGAGACUUGUUCUGGGAGAAGGUUGAAAAAAUAAGUCAAUUUGAAUUUAUAUUUUUAUUUAAAUUUAAAUUCAAAUGUGACCGUUUGGCAGUUGUCCAUGCCAGUUUACCUUGCCUUGUUUCUCUCUCUCUCUCUCUCAAAAAAAAAAGCAGUUAAGCCCCAAACAAUUAAAAGAAAACUCAAACAGGAUAGAGCUAAACCUCGCUCCACCUUCCACUCGUCUCCAAUGGCCACCACCACUCUCUCACGCUCUCACAUCCGCCUGCACCUCCCGCUCCACACCGCCAAUCCUUCCUACCCUCGCUGCUGCCGCCUCCUUCCCUCCUCCGCCAUCUCAUCGCGUCUCCAGAACCCCGCCACAACCACCGCCACCCACUAUCCCAUCCUCCCGCCCGCUCCAUCCCCUUCCCUCCUCGCCGCCGAGGAGGCCUCCCUCGCCCCGCGCCGCACCCACCGGUUCCCGGGCUCUGUCGCGCCCCCGCGCAUCCAGGACUCCCGGGACGACCUCGACGUCCCGGCCGACGAUGACGUCCUGCGGCGUGCGCUCGAGGUGCGCCGCGCUGUGGCCACCGAGGCGCUCGUGGCCGCGCUCAGCGGCGGCAAGGCCGGGGGGCUCACCUACGUCAACAACCUCACUUCACGGAUGGGCGCCUUCGUCGACCGCAUCGUCGUCGGAGCCGCCGCCAUGCGGCGCGACCGCCCCGAGCUCGCGCACCAGUCCUUCAACGCGCGGGCACGGACCUACAUCCAGGAAUCGGGCGUGGUCGAGCUGGUCAAGUGGUUCAAGCACAACUCGUUGACAUAUCCCCAAAUCGCGAAAGUAGUUUGCUCCUGUUCUGGUGAUCUGGAGAAAGUGAGAAGGAUGCUAAAGUGGUUGAGAUCAAUUUAUGUGAAAGGAGAAUUUUUGGGACGUGUGCUUGCGAAGGGUGAAUCCCUUAUGAGUCGCAGUUUCGAAGAAUUGGAAGAGAUUACUGGCUAUCUGGAAUGCUGUGGUGUUAGGAGAGAGUGGAUUGGUCACGUGGUCAGUAGAUGUCCACAGCUAUUGAAUUUGUCCUUGGAUGAGUUAGAGACACGAGUGCAAUUUUAUACAAAUAUGGGAAUGAAUGAGAAUGACUUCGGCACUAUGGUCUAUGAUUAUCCAAAAGUUCUCGGGUUUUUCAGCCUAGAAGAGAUGAACAGUAAGGUUCAAUAUCUGAAGGAGUUUGGUUUGAGCACAGAAGAACUUGGAAAAAUGCUGGCUUAUAAGCCACAGCUCAUGGCCUGCAGCAUUGAAGAAAGGUGGAAGCCACUUGUGAAGUACCUAUAUCAUCUAAACAUUUCACGGGAUGGUAUGAAGCGUGUGUUGGUGGUCCAACCUACGAUUUUCUGUCUUGAUUUAGAGACAGUAAUUGCACCAAAGGUACGAUUUCUACAGGAUAUUGGUGUGAGGAAUGAUGCAGUCGGCAAUGUGCUUGUGAAGUUCCCCCCUGUACUAACUUAUAGUCUGUACAGGAAGUUACGCCCAGUGGUUAUAUUCCUGAGGACAAAAGCUGGAGUAACAGAGGAUGACAUUGGGAAGGUGAUUGCGUUGGACCCGCAGCUCAUGGGCUGCAGCAUCCCACACAAACUGGAAGCCAGCGUCAAGUACUUCCGGUCACUGGGCAUCUACCACUUGGUGCUCGGCCAGAUGGUUGCCGACUUCCCGACGCUUCUCCGGUACAAUGUGGAUGUUCUACGUCCAAAAUACCAGUACCUCAGGCGUGUCAUGGUACGGCCGCUGAAAGAUCUUAUCGAGUUUCCCCGGUUUUUCAGUUACUCUUUGGAGCAUAGGAUAGAGCCUCGGCACAAGGUUCUGGUGGCCAACAGGAUAAACAUGAAGCUGCGGUACAUGCUGCCUGGUUCCGAUGAGGAGUUUGCGCAGAGGGUGCAAGAGGCCGUCGAGAGGAGAGCGAGAUUCGAAGCCGGAGUGACUACUCUGGAGACAUCAGGUGCGCCCGAAACACCCAGCGGCAAUGGAAAUGGCGUAGCAGCAGCAGCAGUAGCAUUUCAAGAGAUCGAGGCAGAUUAAGGCAGUACCUUGCAAGAAACAAGAAAUCCAUGUCCUUGGCUUGUACGUACAUACGUGUACAUGUUCCACGUUUGUGGUUGGCUGUGCUCACUGUGAGCCUAUUUGAUCCUUUGUGACUCCAAAGUCCUAAGCCAAGUCGACGGAGGAUUCUGCUGGAGCCAACGCGAGCACAAAAUGCAGAACUAAAAUGUUUCACAAAAGAAAAAGGAAACAUAACUAAGCUAGAUCAUCAUCCCAG
RNAcentral lists this ribosomal RNA (4975 nucleotides) under Triticum aestivum (bread wheat). RNAcentral's name for it is "partial small subunit ribosomal RNA". Lineage: Eukaryota; Viridiplantae; Streptophyta; Magnoliopsida; Poales; Poaceae. The record is from RNAcentral.